CUCGGCGGGGGACAACACUUCGAAAGGGGUGCUAAUACCGCAUACGUCUGCGGGAUCUUCGGGUCCUGCAGGGAAAGAUGGCCUCUUCAUGAAAGCUAUCACCGAGAGACGGGCUCGCGUCCCAUUAGCUAGUUGGUGAGGUAGCGGCUCACCAAGGCUGCGAUGGGUAGCUGGUCUGAGAGGAUGAUCAGCCACACUGGGACUGAGACACGGCCCAG
RNAcentral lists this ribosomal RNA (218 nucleotides) under uncultured bacterium. RNAcentral's name for it is "partial 16S ribosomal RNA". It matches the Rfam family "Bacterial small subunit ribosomal RNA", at positions 132 to 334 of the family's 1533-position model. The record is from RNAcentral.